UACGGGGGGAGCAAGCGUUGUUCGGAUUUACUGGGCGUAAAGGGCGCGUAGGCGGUCAGCACAAGUCAGUUGUGAAAUCUCUGGGCUUAACACGGAAAGGUCAACUGAUACUGUGCGACUAGAGUGCGGAAGGGGCAACUGGAAUUCUCGGUGUAGCGGUGAAAUGCGUAGAUAUCGAGAGGAACACCUGCGGCGAAGGCGGGUUGCUGGGCCGACACUGACGCUGAUGCGCGAAAGCCAGGGGAGCGAACGGG
RNAcentral lists this ribosomal RNA (254 nucleotides) under uncultured bacterium. RNAcentral's name for it is "partial 16S ribosomal RNA". It matches the Rfam family "Bacterial small subunit ribosomal RNA", at positions 524 to 776 of the family's 1533-position model. The record is from RNAcentral.